GUCGAGCGGCAGCGGAAAGUAGCUUGCUACUUUGCCGGCGAGCGGCGGACGGGUGAGUAAUGUCUGGGAAACUGCCUGAUGGAGGGGGAUAACUACUGGAAACGGUAGCUAAUACCGCAUGACCUCGAAAGAGCAAAGUGGGGGAUCUUCGGACCUCACGCCAUCGGAUGUGCCCAGAUGGGAUUAGCUAGUAGGUGAGGUAAUGGCUCACCUAGGCGACGAUCCCUAGCUGGUCUGAGAGGAUGACCAGCCACACUGGAACUGAGACACGGUCCAGACUCCUACGGGAGGCAGCAGUGGGGAAUAUUGCACAAUGGGCGCAAGCCUGAUGCAGCCAUGCCGCGUGUGUGAAGAAGGCCUUAGGGUUGUAAAGCACUUUCAGCGAGGAGGAAGGCAUCACACUUAAUACGUGUGGUGAUUGACGUUACUCGCAGAAGAAGCACCGGCUAACUCCGUGCCAGCAGCCGCGGUAAUACGGAGGGUGCAAGCGUUAAUCGGAAUUACUGGGCGUAAAGCGCACGCAGGCGGUUUGUUAAGUCAGAUGUGAAAUCCCCGAGCUUAACUUGGGAACUGCAUUUGAAACUGGCAAGCUAGAGUCUUGUAGA
RNAcentral lists this ribosomal RNA (605 nucleotides) under Rahnella sp. RNAcentral's name for it is "bacterial SSU rRNA". It matches the Rfam family "Bacterial small subunit ribosomal RNA", at positions 61 to 655 of the family's 1533-position model. The record is from RNAcentral. Lineage: Bacteria; Pseudomonadati; Pseudomonadota; Gammaproteobacteria; Enterobacterales; Yersiniaceae.